UGGGGAAUAUUGGACAAUGGGCGCAAGCCUGAUCCAGCCAUGCCGCGUGAGUGAUGAAGGCCCUAGGGUUGUAAAGCUCUUUCAACGGUGAAGAUAAUGACGGUAACCGUAGAAGAAGCCCCGGCUAACUUCGUGCCAGCAGCCGCGGUAAUACGAAGGGGGCUAGCGUUGUUCGGAAUUACUGGGCGUAAAGCGCACGUAGGCGGAUACUUAAGUUAGGGGUGAAAUCCCGAGGCUCAACCUCGGAACUGCCUCUGAUACUGGGUAUCUCGAGUAUGGUAGAGGUGAGGGGAAUUCCGAGUGUAGAGGUGAAAUUCGUAGAUAUUCGGAGGAACACCAGUGGCGAAGGCGGCUCACUGGACCAUUACUGACGCUGAGGUGCGAAAGCGUGGGGAGCAAACA
Molecule: ribosomal RNA, 402 nt
Filed under: uncultured prokaryote
Description: bacterial SSU rRNA
Rfam family: Bacterial small subunit ribosomal RNA
Source: RNAcentral